Molecule: ribosomal RNA, 727 nt
Filed under: Bacillus thuringiensis
Lineage: Bacteria; Bacillati; Bacillota; Bacilli; Caryophanales; Bacillaceae
Description: bacterial SSU rRNA
Rfam family: Bacterial small subunit ribosomal RNA
Source: RNAcentral
GUCGAGCGAUGGAUUGAGAGCUUGCUCUCAAGAAGUUAGCGGCGGACGGGUGAGUAACACGUGGGUAACCUGCCCAUAAGACUGGGAUAACUCCGGGAAACCGGGGCUAAUACCGGAUAACAUUUUGAACCGCAUGGUUCGAAAUUGAAAGGCGGCUUCGGCUGUCACUUAUGGAUGGACCCGCGUCGCAUUAGCUAGUUGGUGAGGUAACGGCUCACCAAGGCAACGAUGCGUAGCCGACCUGAGAGGGUGAUCGGCCACACUGGGACUGAGACACGGCCCAGACUCCUACGGGAGGCAGCAGUAGGGAAUCUUCCGCAAUGGACGAAAGUCUGACGGAGCAACGCCGCGUGAGUGAUGAAGGCUUUCGGGUCGUAAAACUCUGUUGUUAGGGAAGAACAAGUGCUAGUUGAAUAAGCUGGCACCUUGACGGUACCUAACCAGAAAGCCACGGCUAACUACGUGCCAGCAGCCGCGGUAAUACGUAGGUGGCAAGCGUUAUCCGGAAUUAUUGGGCGUAAAGCGCGCGCAGGUGGUUUCUUAAGUCUGAUGUGAAAGCCCACGGCUCAACCGUGGAGGGUCAUUGGAAACUGGGAGACUUGAGUGCAGAAGAGGAAAGUGGAAUUCCAUGUGUAGCGGUGAAAUGCGUAGAGAUAUGGAGGAACACCAGUGGCGAAGGCGACUUUCUGGUCUGUAACUGACACUGAGGCGCGAAAGCGUGGGGAGC